AGCGGCGGACGGGUGAGUAACGCGUGGGUAACCUGCCUCAUACAGGGGGAUAACAGUUGGAAACGGCUGCUAAUACCGCAUAAGCGCACAGUACCGCAUGGUACGUGUGAAAAACUCCGGUGGUAUGAGAUGGACCCGCGUCUGAUUAGGUAGUUGGUGGGGUAACGGCCUACCAAGCCGACGAUCAGUAGCCGACCUGAGAGGGUGACCGGCCACAUUGGGACUGAGACAUGGCCCAA
This 239-nucleotide ribosomal RNA is filed under the name uncultured bacterium. Its description in RNAcentral is "partial 16S ribosomal RNA". It matches the Rfam family "Bacterial small subunit ribosomal RNA", at positions 94 to 334 of the family's 1533-position model. The record is from RNAcentral.